AUAAAGGAUAAUUAGUGGCAGACGGGUGAGUAAUGCAUAGGAAUCUACCUAGUAGUAUGGGAUAGCCACUAGAAAUGGUGGGUAAUACUGUAUAAUCCCUGCGGGGGAAAGAUUUAUCGCUAUUAGAUGAGCCUAUGUUAGAUUAGCUAGUUGGUAGGGUAAAAGCCUACCAAGGCGAUGAUCUAUAGCUGGUCUGAGAGGAUGAUCAGCCACACUGGAACUGAGAUACGGUCCAGACUCCUACGGGAGGCAGCAGUGGGGAAUAUUGGACAAUGGGCGCAAGCCUGAUCCAGCUAUGCCGCGUGAGUGAGGAAGGCCUUAGGGUUGUAAAACUCUUUCAGUAGGGAAGAUAAUGACGGUACCUACAGAAGAAGUCCCGGCAAACUCCGUGCCAGCAGCCGCGGUAAUACGGAGGGGGCAAGCGUUGUUCGGAAUUAUUGGGCGUAAAGGGCAUGUAGGCGGUUCGGUAAGUUAAAGGUGAAAUGCCAGGGCUUAAC
Molecule: ribosomal RNA, 497 nt
Filed under: uncultured Anaplasma sp.
Lineage: Bacteria; Pseudomonadati; Pseudomonadota; Alphaproteobacteria; Rickettsiales; Anaplasmataceae
Description: bacterial SSU rRNA
Rfam family: Bacterial small subunit ribosomal RNA
Source: RNAcentral